AUGCUGCCCUGCCGGGGCAGGUUGGAAACAGAACACAUCUUGGAGUUCCCUGCAGAAGAUUCCUGUUUCCAGACUCACCGUGUCUGGCCCCUCAGAGUACUGUUGCCCAUUGCAGUGAGCAGAAGGGAGCUCUGGCUGGGUGCUGCUCUGACCAUGCAGUGCCACGGUGUCCCUACAGCUGCAUGGCAGAGCACCGCAUCAGGCUUGCUCACAGCUGGAGGCGGGGGACAAGCUUCACCAGCAGCAUGAGCACGAAUGAGGAGAAGGGAAGUUUCCUGCUCUUCACAUUACAAGAAAAGCCUCUUCGUAUAAACUCUGCUAACAGGUGAGUUUCAUUUUUAUCUAUUAAUUCUUGAAAGCAAGUUAAUUUUCCAUCACUGUGCAGGUCUCAUCCCUGGAGAGGUGGUAAGACAGUUUUCUAGCUGAGUUGUUAAAGCAAAACAACGAGGUGCUCCAAGGACUUAACCAAAGCAAUGUGUCCAAAACAAUUCACAACUUCAAAAUUUCCUUGGCAAAGUUCCUACUAACAGGAACUUUGAAUAAAGGUUUUCCCCCAAAAAAAUUUCUUGAGUUUCAGUUAGGCACAAGAGGAGCUGAAUGUUCAAGUUGUAUUGAUGAAAGGGAAUUGUUAAGAUAACUGAGAAACUGUUUGUUGUUUGCAGCAAGUAAUCAGAGCAGUAGCAUGUAGAUAAGUUCCUGGAGUAAUUUUCAGAGCACUUACUAGCACUAGUUGAAUAGAUACAAGGUAUUUUGAAGGAGUAAGUAACAUUAUUUCCCCUGAGAAUACAAGCCAAAAGUUACACCUAACAUGAAACUGCUAAACCACAUACCUUCAUGUGUGGGUGCUCUGUGUAAACCUAUAUAGUUUUGUCUUUGUAUCUCAAGUGUAUGUAAUUACUAUAUUUUCCAAACACCAAGCCACUUUUCUUCCUGCGGUUCAGAAUCUGGCUUGGAAAACUUGAAAUUUGAGGGCUUGUUUAGAGAAGUGAAAUCCAUCAGGUGAGAAAUUAAUCUUUUUUUCAAUAGGAUAAAAAGAACUUUUGUUAGUUAUUGUAGCUUGUCCUUGUUAUGAGAACGUUUUUCCUGUUCUUGUCAGUCUUUGUAAAGAAACAAGAAAAGCAAUUCACUGAGUGAUGCUUUCUUCUUUUGUGUGUUGCAUGGGGAUGAAAGCUGAGAAAUAGAGAAUUUAGAAGAAUAUAUCAGCUUGCCCUGUCCUCUUCUGCUCAAAACACAUGCAGAUAUUUAUUAAUAAAAAUAUAAGGAAACUUAACAGUAAAAUAAGUAAAAAUGGCUACAUGUAGGCUCAUAGGACGUGACAGUGUCACUGAGCAGUAUGGGACUUUCUGAGCAGUGUGUUAGUCAG
RNAcentral lists this long non-coding RNA (1363 nucleotides) under Taeniopygia guttata (zebra finch). Its description in RNAcentral is "lncRNA (ENSTGUG00000021586.1)". The record is from RNAcentral. Lineage: Eukaryota; Metazoa; Chordata; Aves; Passeriformes; Estrildidae.